Molecule: unclassified non-coding RNA, 1661 nt
Filed under: uncultured fungus
Lineage: Eukaryota; Fungi
Description: sequence contains 18S rRNA gene, ITS1, 5.8S rRNA gene, ITS2, 28S rRNA gene
Rfam family: Eukaryotic large subunit ribosomal RNA (bases 555-1661)
Source: RNAcentral
GGAAGGAUCAUCAACAAAAAGGGAAGGACGGCGCGGGCGGGCGCAAGCCCGUUCGUUGCCACUCCCGAAAUCCUGUAUUCACCCCAAGUUCCUUUAAAACUUUUAAUAAAAAACUUUGCAAAAAAGACCACCUUCGUCUGGUGGCGCUUAAUGCAUACGUGAAAACUUUCAACAACGGAUCUCUUGGCUCUCGCAUCGAUGAAGAACGCAGCGAAAUGCGAUAAGUAGUGUGAAUUGCAGGCUAGAGUGAAUCAUCGAAUUUUUGAACGCAGUUUGCGCUCUCUGGUACCCCAGGGAGCAUGCUUGUCUGAGGGUCGGUAAAACAAAUCAUCAGGACUCUUUCCAGUCUUUUGAUGGUCGAUGGGUGCCAAUCCGGUUAACCCUUUGGGAUAAAAACUGGUCACCUGAAAUAAUAGGGUACCGCACCGUUUAGCGGACUCGUGCAGUAAGCUUUUCUAAGUGACUUCACGAUAAGGCGACGGAAGGCGAGAUUGCCCACGUUUUGGUUUUUCCUUAAAAACCAAAUGCGCCUUUGGCGCAACUUUUCGUAUUCUCGACCUCAGAUCAAGCAAGACUACCCGCUGAACUUAAGCAUAUCAAUAAGCGGAGGAAAAGAAACUAACAAGGAUUCCCCUAGUAACGGCGAGUGAAGCGGGAAGAGCUCAAAUUUUAAAACCGUUCGUCUUUGGCGUUCGGAGUUGUAGUUUGAAGAGUCGUUCUCGACGGGCCGAACCGGCACAAGUCCUCUGGAAGGAGGCGUCAUAGAGGGUGACAACCCCGUCCACGGCCGGACCCGGAUCUGUCACGAACGUACUCCAAGAGUCGAGUAGUUUGGGAUUGCUGCUCAAAACGGGUGGUAAACUCCAUCUAAGGCUAAAUAACGGCGAGAGACCGAUAGCGAACAAGUACCGUGAGGGAAAGAUGAAAAGAACUCUGAAGAGAGAGUUAAAAGUACGUGAAAUUGUUGAAAGGGAAACGCUUGAAGCCAGUCGUGUCGGUGGAAUAUCAACGGUCGAGCGGGCGGAGUCGCUGCGUUGGACAGGGUCAAACCGUCCGCGUGGAGUCGCAAGUUCGUUCUCCGUGCACUAUUUCGCAUGACAGGCCAGCGUCGGUUUCGGGCACGGCACAAUGGCCAGGGAAAGGUGGCCCCUCUCGGGGGGUGUUAUAGUCCUUUGGUAAAUGUCGUGCACGAAACCGAGGAAUGCGGCGGCGAUCCUUCGGGCUUGGACCUUUCCUUUGUGCGGCGGCACGUGCGUUUCGAGCUUGCUCGGGCGCGUGGGCUCAGUCGUUCAAUCAGGGGAGUGCUCCGUACCUACCGCCAAGGACGCUGGCGUAAUGGCUUCAAACGACCCGUCUUGAAACACGGACCAAGGAGUCCAACAGAUAUGCGAGUGUUUGGGUGGCAAACCCUUGCGCGCAAUCAACGUGAUCUUGGUGGGAACCUCUCCGGGGGCGCACCAUCGACCGAUCCUGACACUCGUUGACGGAUUUGAGUAAGAGCAUAUCUGCUGGGACCCGAAAGAUGGUGAACUAUGCCUGAAUAGGGUGAAGCCAGGGGAAACUCUGGUGGAGGCCCGUAGCGAUUCUGACGUGCAAAUCGAUCGUCGAAUUUGGGUAUAGGGGCGAAAGACUAAUCGAACCAUCUAGUAGCUGGUUCCUGC